GGCGACGUAGCCAAGUGGCAAGGUGGCGCUCUACAAAAGCGUUUUUCGUCGGUUCGAUUCCGACCGUCGCCU
Molecule: transfer RNA, 72 nt
Filed under: Candidatus Uhrbacteria bacterium
Lineage: Bacteria; Candidatus Uhriibacteriota
Description: tRNA-Cys
Rfam family: tRNA
About the family: Transfer RNA (tRNA) molecules are approximately 80 nucleotides in length. Their secondary structure includes four short double-helical elements and three loops (D, anti-codon, and T loops). Further hydrogen bonds mediate the characteristic L-shaped molecular structure. tRNAs have two regions of fundamental functional importance: the anti-codon, which is responsible for specific mRNA codon recognition, and the 3' end, to which the tRNAs corresponding amino acid is attached (by aminoacyl-tRNA synthetases). tRNAs cope with the degeneracy of the genetic code in two manners: having more than one tRNA (with a specific anti-codon) for a particular amino acid; and 'wobble' base-pairing, i.e. permitting non-standard base-pairing at the 3rd anti-codon position.
Source: RNAcentral